AUACGGAGGAUCCGAGCGUUAUCCGGAUUUAUUGGGAUUAAAGGGUGCGCAGGCGGCCAUUUAAGUCAGCGGUUAAAUCGUGGGGCUCCACCCCAUUCUGCCGUUGAUACUGGGUGGCUUGAUUGCGGUCGAGGUUGGCGGACUUCGUUGUGUAGCGGUGAAAUGCAUAGAUAUGACGAAGAACACCGAUUGCGUAGGCAGCUGACCAGAUCGCAAAUGACGCUCAUGCACGAAAGUGCGGGGAUCGAACAGGAUUAGAUACCCUGGUAGUCCGCACAGUAAACGAUGAAUACUUGUUUUCGGCGAUAUAAUGUCGGAGGCAAAGCGAAAGCGAUAAGUAUUCCACCUGGGGAGUACGCCGGCAACGGUGAAACUUAAAGGAAUUGACGGGG
RNAcentral lists this ribosomal RNA (392 nucleotides) under uncultured bacterium. Its description in RNAcentral is "partial 16S ribosomal RNA". It matches the Rfam family "Bacterial small subunit ribosomal RNA", at positions 523 to 918 of the family's 1533-position model. The record is from RNAcentral.